This 67-nucleotide transfer RNA is filed under the name Aparapotamon huizeense. Its description in RNAcentral is "tRNA-Ser". It matches the Rfam family "tRNA". From Rfam's summary of the family: Transfer RNA (tRNA) molecules are approximately 80 nucleotides in length. Lineage: Eukaryota; Metazoa; Arthropoda; Malacostraca; Decapoda; Potamidae. The record is from RNAcentral.
GGUUAUUUAGUUUAAAAAAAACAAAUGUUUUGAAAACAUUAAAUAAAUACACAUAUUUUAAUAGCCG